RNAcentral lists this long non-coding RNA (5417 nucleotides) under Homo sapiens (human). RNAcentral describes it as "uncharacterized LOC105371017 (LOC105371017)". The record is from RNAcentral. Lineage: Eukaryota; Metazoa; Chordata; Mammalia; Primates; Hominidae.
ACCAGUAAUUCCACUUCUAGGCACACAUCCACACAAAAACUAGUGCAUGAAUGUUCAUAAUGGCCAAAAAGUGCCCAUCAAUGGAUGAAUGGAUGAAUCAAAUCUAGUAUAUCCAUAUGAUGGAAUAUUAUUUAGCCAUAAAGAGGAAUGGGUUAGUGACACAUGCCACAACAUGGAUGAACCUUGAAAACAUGACAUGAAAAUGAAAUGAAAGGAGCCAGCCACAAAAGAUCACAUGUAUGAUUCCAUUAGUAUGCAAUGUCCAGAAUAAGAAAUCCCUAGGGACAGAAAGUAGAUGGUGGCCAGGAGUUGAGGGGAGAAGAAAAUGGGUACUAACUGCUAAUGGGUAUGGAGUUUCUUUUGGGGCAAUGAAAAUGGUCUGGAAUUAGAUAGCAGUGAUAGUUGCACAACCUUGUGAAUGUACCGAAAACCAUUGAAUUGAGGUAAAAUUCAGUGUAUGGUAUAUAAUAUCUCCAUUUAAAAAAAUCAAAGCUAGUGAUGCAACUUACUUUACAUAUCUGUUAGUACAUUUUUUGGAUAGACCGACACUCCUUCCAGAAGCCAGGGAACUGCUGUCGCUGUGGCUGUAAAACAGAUGAAAGCAGUACUAACAGCUCAUCUGGUUUCAGAUUCUGUUCUUGCUGGUUAACAUCAUCAGGCCAAAACUGCAGUAAUUUUAAAUUUUCACUUGGAGAGUCUUCCAACUCACUUAAUCUAUCGAUCAAACAAUUACCAUCCUAGUGAGCGCUCCUCAAGGACUGAAACCUGCUGAAAGUAAGACACCAUGAAAUUAAUGUGUUUGAACAUAAAAUCAAACGGAAAAUUCUGUAAAGUACUAGGAAGUACUCCUCUGUAAAGCAUUUGGAUGCCAUAUUUGCUUUUUUCCUCAGUUUCCAAUGCUGUGUUGGUACCAUUCUUUAGAACAAAAAUGUACAGGAAGGAAUUAUCUACCAAAGGUCCUCCUACAACUUGCUGGUGCCUGGCACUGACCUGCACCGUUAGAUUUAUUGACUGAAGAAUUACACCCUCUUUGAUGGUACGCAGUUUAAUUCAAUAGAUCAAAGCUACGUCUAGAUUUUAAAUAAAUGAUAGGGAUUUAAAAUUGUAUAUAAAAAACGUCAUUAUAUCUUGCUUUCUUUGGGUAUGUAUUCUUUAAUUGAGCAGGCAAAGAAUUUUAAGAGAAAAAUAUAAAAUGCAGCUAUAAUAUUAUUAAUCUGAUCUUGCUAUUUGAAAGAAUCUAGGUCAGUUAUGUUUUGAGCUAUUACUGUUGAAUCCUGUGCAUAUAAUCUUUUUUCUUCUCUUUUCUUUUCUUUAUUUCUUUUUAUUUUGAGAUCGAGUCUCUCUCUGUCUCCCAGGCUGGAGUGCAGAGGCGCGAUCUUGGCUCACUGCAACCUCCUCCUCCCGGGUUCAAGUGAUUCUCCUGCCUCAGCCUCCCGAGUAGCCGAGAAUACAGGAAGCUGAGCUAAGUGAGCAGCUGAAGAUGAAGGGAAGCCCAGAGGUUUUGCAGGUCACCAGAAAAGCCCUAAUUGAAGGAGGUACUAUACAAAUUUAGAAGAAAUGGUGCGUGAUUGUUUACAAAAGGUUCCUGAAUUUUCAGUGUUUGGCAGAGGAGGAGACAUGGAGAAAUACUGAAACUCCUGCUAAAGGACACCCCUUCAAAGGGCAGGCGCUGUGCUGGGCUCUGGGACUCGUGGGUGAACUGCACAGAGCUGGGCCCUGCCUUCAGGGAAAGAAGACAAUAAGCAAAACAUACCCAAAGAGAUGGUUACAAAGACAGCGAGCACCCGGAAGGAAAAUGGAAGCUGCCAGGAAAGGGGCUCCUGGGCCUACUCACCAGGAAGUCCAGUCCUCACCAGCCCGGAGGCCUGGUCUGCAUCCUCAGCCUCACAGAAGCUCAACCAGUCACUUAAAACGAGAUUGCAGUGAUGUUUUACAACUCUGUGAACGCACUAAUAGCCACUGAAUUCUACACUAACGUGUGCAUUUUAUGACAGGAGUGCUGCAUCUGGAUGGCAUGGCAGAGGGAAGCCCCAGCUGCCACUGCUCCAGGGACCCUUAUAGUUCCACGGUGAUGGGGAACAGAAAGAGGCUCUUCCAGGAAACAGCCUUGGGGACAAGGAGACCACACUUCUGGGUGAUUCGAAGAUCAGACAAGGCUCCUGUAAAAUGAACGAAUGAAGUGAAUGAAUGAGACGGAGUUGCACUGUUAGAGAUGGUGGCAGCAGUGUGAAUCAAAUGAAGUCCCUGCUCUCCCGGUUGUGGCCACGUUAGUCCAGCCCAGAAGAGUCUCCAGGGGCCCGAGCAUCUGUCCUCACAUCAGAACUAGCUUUGGGAUUGUGACUUUGGGGUUGCUUUGUUGGCUUCCUUUUCCUGUCAGGCAGCAUAUAGGGCUGGGGGCUGUCAACCGCACCCUCCCUGAAUCUACGUCCAUCACGAGUCCCCUUGCAGGGCCUUCUUUUUUUUUGACCCAGCGUCAGUCAUGUAACUUGCUUUGGCCAAGUGAUGUCAGCAAGUGGGAUACAAGCAGAGGUCUGAAAAGUGCUGGCAAACGGGGCUUGCUCGCUCGGCUCUGCCACAGUGUGAGAACGUGCCUCGACUCGCCUGCCGGUGGACAGCACACUUGGAACAGGACUGGUGUCGCCAGCUGCCCCAGCCGAGGCCACCCUAGACCAGCCAGCAGCCAGGACCAUGGCCCGGGCGAGUCCAGCCUGCAUCACUGGCUGCAGACUCGUGGGCUAAAUAAUUGCUCAUUGCUUCAAGUCACUGAGUUUCAGGGCAGUCCGUCCCAUAGCAUUAUUGUGGCAGUGGUCACUGAUGGGGCAGUAGGAGGGCUCCUGUCAGUACCAGGAGCUGUUGGCUCCUGUCAGAAAGGACCUAGUGGUAGCCAGUGUGGACCUGGAACAAGAGAGUGGGCCUUAAAACGAGGAUCUCCAGGCACCAUGUGGGGCUGAGCCUCAUAGGCAGCCAUUCCUGAAGCGCAGGAGGUGGUAGGAAAUUAGGAGGCAAAGGCAUGAGAUGCUAUGGCAGCUUCCCUGAGCGGGGACGAUGGGCACCACUCAUCGGUGGGCACCGCAGGGUGAGUCAGUUCCCGGCCCUGCUGCUUGAACUCAUCUCCCACAGGCACAGGCUGGCCGUGGGAGUCCGCGGGCCACGUGCAGUCUCCUCAUUCCCACCUCCUCCAGGUUUCCUUGCAGCCUCCACCUCCAGGGCUGAGUCAUGAGCUCAUGGCCCCAGGGAAGGAGAAGCUGGAAAGGCCUAGGACUUCAAGGUCACAGAGCUGUCAGCCCUCUGGGGAACUGCCUUGGUAGAACAGAGUAGCCACCUCACCCAAGGCAGCCCCCAGCCAGGGACGGAUCAGCUUGGGGGCGUAAACCUUGGUCCCCUCACCGCAGCUUGGUGCAGCCUGCAGGGCCACCCCAGCUCCGGGGCUCCUGAGACCAGCUUCUCCCUCGGGCCAUCCUGCCUGUCCCAUUCUGUCCCCUUCCAUCAGGGCUGACCCCCAGAGGACACCCUAACAAUUCCCUGCAGCCCAGGCUCCACCUCGGUGGGUAGCAGCUUCCCUGAAACCAGUGGUGCUUCUCAUUCAGUCCCUGCAGGCUGAGAAGCAGCCUGAAGGAUCUCCACUGCUUCCAGGCGAGGCCCCAGGGAUCUGCUGAGAAUCUGGCUGGUUGGCUUGCCAGGAAACAUCACUGUGAGUGUGAAGUGUCCCAGCCUUUGAGGGCCGCACGCCCACUGCCCAGGCAAGGGCUGAAUGGGAGCUUCAGAACUCAGGAGAUCACAGUGUGGGCGAGCCUAGGCUGCAGGACGGAGCCACAGCAAGGGUGACACAGGUUGCCAGUGCCCUGUGGAGGACACCACAGAACCCCACGGCAGCCCGGGCCUGCCGCGCCUGCACUGUCACCCACUUGGGGUGGAGCAUUCUUCUCUGCAACCAGCUAUAGGAAAUACAUAGUCUUAUAAUCUUUGUCCACCUGAGGAAUUACAGAUGGUCCCUGGCUCCUGGUGCCUCAAUUUAUGAUUUUUUGACUUUAUGAUGGUUUGAAAUAUUGGCAGUUUUGAUGAAUGUACAGUAUUCAAUAUAUCAUGUGAGGUAUUCAACAUUUUAUGAUAAAAUGGGCUUCGUGUGGCAUGAUUUUGCCCAAUUGUAGGCUAACCUGAGUGUUCUGAGCAUGUUUAAGGUCCACUAGGCUAAGCUAGGAUGUUCGGUAGCUUAGGUGUGUCAAAUGCAUUUUCAACUUACGAUAUUUUCAACUUGGAAUGGGUUUACCUGGAUGCAACCCCCAUGUAACUCGAGGAGCACCUGUAUGCGUCAAUUGCCUUCACCCUCUAACAGGGUGGGUGUGAGGGCUGCCAUGUCAGAGAAAGCAGGCCUGGAAUGGCGGUCAGAAGAGGAUUCUGGAAAUUCUGAGGUUUCCUAACAAGGCCCCAGUCAUGGCAGGAGGCUCUGAGGGCUCCACUGGGGCCGGAGAGGCUGCUUCCAGGCUCUCUCUGGCGUCCCUUGCUGGGGCUCCAGGCCUUCUCCAGCUGCUGGUGGCAGACCUGGAUCACAGGGCUGCUCAGUACAAGGCAGCUGGCUUUUCCCAGAGCAAGGGCUCUGAAGGGGAGGGAACAAGAGAAGGCGGGCAAGGUGGGGGGCACAGGCGUUUUGUAGCCAAAUAAUCUUGGAAGGGACAGCCCAUUACCUUUGCCAGAUUCUACUUAGUUGAAGCCAGUCCCUAGGUGACAGGAAUCACGAAGGCCAUUGGAGAGGCUGCCUGCCCUACGGGAUUGCAGAGGGGACGAGGCCCAGCAAAGUCUGUGGAGCUGGAGGAUGCCACGCCCAUUCAGGACGAAAUGCAGAAGGACGCUGCAGAGCCUGCUUCUCUGUUCCUUCGCCUCACUGGGGCAGACCAGCUGCGGCCAGCCUGUGCCCACUCCUCGCGGACCUGGGUACUGCUUCCAGAGAUCCUUCAGUCCUGGGAGUUUAAUCAUUCUGUCCCGGCCUCUUUGCUCCCAGCCCUCCCCUGGCAGUUGCUGCUCUAUUGUUCUAGCUCAGUUUUCACUUUUUGCCCUUGCAAUGCACAAGGGUUAGCAAUUCUUGAUGGUACAGUCUCUCUGUUCGAAGAGCUGGGGUGGUUUCUACUUCUAGCUGGACCCUGAGUGAUCCUUCAGGCAGGGGUCUCUGCGACUGGAGACAUGCUGUGUGCAUGAGGUCCCAUGUACACUCAGAUUGCAUCCCCCAUCCCUGCCCAGCCCUGAGAGGCAGGCGAGACAGUCCCCCUCUCACCAUCUCUGGGGUGGGCCUGGAUUUAUUGGCUGAAGAAUUACACCCUCUUUGAUGGUAUGCAGUUUAAUUCCGUAGAUCAAAGCUAUGUCUAGAUUUUAAAUAAAUGAUAGGGAUUUAAAAUUGUAUAUAAAACACAGUCAUUGUAUCUUGC